AAGGAUCAUUACAGUAGUCAUCCGGGUUGCCGCAAGGCCUCCCGGGUAACCUACCACCCUUUGUUUAUUACACUUUGUUGCUUUGGCAGGCCUGCCCUCGGGCUGCUGGCUCCGGCCGGCGAGCGUCUGCCAGAGGACCUAAACUCUGUUUGUCUAUAAUGUCUGAGUACUAUAUAAUAGUUAAAACUUUCAACAACGGAUCUCUUGGUUCUGGCAUCGAUGAAGAACGCAGCGAAAUGCGAUAAGUAAUGUGAAUUGCAGAAUUCAGUGAAUCAUCGAAUCUUUGAACGCACAUUGCGCCCCCUGGUAUUCCGGGGGGCAUGCCUGUCCGAGCGUCAUUACAACCCUCAAGCUCAGCUUGGUGUUGGGCCCCGCCGCCCCGGCGGGCCCUAAAGUCAGUGGCGGUGCCGUCCGGCUCCGAGCGUAGUAAUUCUUCUCGCUCUGGAGGUCCGGUCGUGUGCUUGCCAGCAACCCCCAAUUUUUUUCAGGUUGACCUCGGAUCAGGUAGGGAUACCCGCUGAACUUAA
This 527-nucleotide ribosomal RNA is filed under the name Pseudogymnoascus pannorum. Its description in RNAcentral is "eukaryotic LSU rRNA". The stretch from base 185 to 338 matches the Rfam family "5.8S ribosomal RNA". The record is from RNAcentral. Lineage: Eukaryota; Fungi; Ascomycota; Leotiomycetes; Thelebolales; Thelebolaceae.